CGAAUACUAAAGAAUGUUAUCAUGGGAGACACACGAUGGGUGCUAACGUCCAUCGUGAAAAGGGAAACAACCCAGAUCGCCAGCUAAGGUCCCAAAAUCAUAAUUAAGUGGAAAACGAUGUGGGAAGUCAUAAACAACCAGGAUGUUGGCUUAGAAGCAGCCAUCAUUUAAAGAAAGCGUAAUAGCUCACUGGUCGAGUCAUCCUGCGCGGAAAAUGUAACGGGGCUAAAUUAUGUACCGAAGCUGCGGCAACAAUAUAUGAAAUAUUGUUG
RNAcentral lists this ribosomal RNA (272 nucleotides) under Candidatus Palibaumannia cicadellinicola. RNAcentral's name for it is "Candidatus Baumannia cicadellinicola partial 23S ribosomal RNA". It matches the Rfam family "Bacterial large subunit ribosomal RNA", at positions 957 to 1226 of the family's 2925-position model. The record is from RNAcentral. Lineage: Bacteria; Pseudomonadati; Pseudomonadota; Gammaproteobacteria.